GAUGAACGCUGGCGGCGUGCCUAAUACAUGCAAGUCGAGCGAACAGACGAGGAGCUUGCUCCUCUGACGUUAGCGGCGGACGGGUGAGUAACACGUGGAUAACCUACCUAUAAGACUGGGAUAACUUCGGGAAACCGGAGCUAAUACCGGAUAAUAUAUUGAACCGCAUGGUUCAAUAGUGAAAGACGGUUUUGCUGUCACUUAUAGAUGGAUCCGCGCCGCAUUAGCUAGUUGGUAAGGUAACGGCUUACCAAGGCAACGAUGCGUAGCCGACCUGAGAGGGUGAUCGGCCACACUGGAACUGAGACACGGUCCAGACUCCUACGGGAGGCAGCAGUAGGGAAUCUUCCGCAAAGGGCGAAAGCUUGACGGAGCAACGCCACGUGAGUGAUGAAGGUCUUCGGAUCGUAAAACUCUGUUAUUAGGGAAGAACAAAUGUGUAAGUAACUAUGCACGUCUUGACGGUACCUAAUCAGAAAGCCACGGCUAACUACGUG
This 497-nucleotide ribosomal RNA is filed under the name uncultured bacterium. RNAcentral describes it as "partial 16S ribosomal RNA". It matches the Rfam family "Bacterial small subunit ribosomal RNA", at positions 28 to 507 of the family's 1533-position model. The record is from RNAcentral.